ACUCAGUAGCUUAGUUGGUAAUGCGAUAGCGUUUGAAGUUAAAGUUACUGGGUUCGAGUCCCAUACUGAACA
RNAcentral lists this transfer RNA (72 nucleotides) under Schistosoma mansoni. Lineage: Eukaryota; Metazoa; Platyhelminthes; Trematoda; Strigeidida; Schistosomatidae. The record is from RNAcentral.